Molecule: long non-coding RNA, 2742 nt
Organism: Aegilops tauschii subsp. strangulata
Lineage: Eukaryota; Viridiplantae; Streptophyta; Magnoliopsida; Poales; Poaceae
Source: RefSeq, a predicted model, not a curated record
CCGCUGCUCCGCAUCCCCCAGGAAACACGCAGCCCCGCUUACAAAACCGUGAUUUGCGGAUCGAUUUCAGUCACCCUUUUUCUCUAGCCCAGAUCGAAAAGGAUGCAUCCUCCGCUUCUAGGUAUGCCGCCACCGCCGAGUAUGCCGGAGAAGACACGGCCCUCCCUCACAUUCAUGGACGUCUCCGUCACAUCCCUACGCGACGCCUCCUGCCCCGGCCACGCUUCCUACGCCGCCGGAACCGCCCCCAGUCAAGCAGUCUAUGCUGCGCCGUGUGGAGGAUGCCGCGAGGGAGGCGGCCGGAAUUCCGCGCCAGGGAUGGCGCCGCGAGUGGCUGCUUCUGGUGGUGGCGAGGAAUCCGCCCAUCAGCGGCGGCGGUAGGCACCAUGGUGCGAUCUGGCCACGCCCUGCUUCCCUCCGCUGGAUCUGGCCUCUCUCCACCCCUCAUGCAGGCUGCGCCAUGCCAAGCGGCAGGCGGUCACCCUUAAACCUCGGCGGCACGACGCUCAUUCUCCGAGCCAGUGGAAGGAGCGAGCGGACAAUUAAGAGCUUGUGAAACUUGCUGCGACAAUCAGUCUCAAGGCAAUGAACCUAGACCCAUUGAGCGCAGGGAUACGCAAACCCAGCUGGAUGCAUAGGAUACGGCGCUGUUAAAGUUUAAUUUGAAUGUUCGACCUGUAGCGUCACAAUACUAGAGGUAUGCUAAAAGCUAAGGAGAUGGCUUAUAUCUUUGGGAAUGCAUCCAUGGAGCUAGGCGAUUAACGGAGAGUCACAAGUAUACCAUUUAUUUAUAACAACAAUUUUUUUGCAUAGUUAGCAUGUAUAAUAGUCUUAUAAUAUAUAUUAUCUUCCUUUGUUGACAUCUUUUGAGAAAUUUAGUCACAACCAUUUCAAGAGCUUGUUCUCUAACUUUGUAUGCAAAUGUCAAGGAAAAAAAGUCCCUGUUGUGGUGUGUGCAUUAUGAUUAUCCUUAUACAGCGGUUCAGUUGGAUAGUUGUUCAAGACUAUUAUGCCUGAAGUUUUUAUAUAUUUGUAUAUUUUGAUAUAAUCUGAUCUGCCAAGAAAAUAGAUAAAUAUGAAAAUUAUGGUCAUUGGAUGAUCUGAUUAAUUGCCAUUCAAUGACAUGAGAUCGACAGAUAUAUUGAUGUUUCCUUGAUGUCCACUUUUAAUGAGCUCAUAAUAAUUAUUUUUUUGGCCUUGUUUUAGUUCAGCCGUGCAUUACGCAUUGCAUUUGAGGUUAUUAAUUAUUUGGGAUGAACCUACAAUUUCUUUUCAUGUCAUUUCUUGAUGAUUAGUUCCAUUGACACAAAUAGUUCCCGAAUGUUAAUAAUGGCCACUUGGGAAUUCCAAUGUCUGUUUUUACAUGUAUGCAUCUAAUUUUGAAGUCCUUUCAUGCAUAUUCAGCAUGUUUCUGCCGCGCUCCUCAUCUCACCAGUUGCCUCGGUAAGAUGUUGUGCUCUUAUAGAAUUUAGAGCAGCGGCCUUUUAGAACGAAUACUGCAUAACAUAGUGUUGUCCAGUGGAAUGUGGAAUUUUUUUGUUUGAUUUAUUUACUAUCCUUUGUGCUAAUUUACAUAUCUUAGAUUCCUUUGCUUUGUUUCAGCAGCAGAAUAUACAAGAUAGGAAAAUACUUCUAAGCUUUUUGUGAAAUUCUGAUCCACUGGUGAUUUUUUCUUUUCUUAAAAAGUUAUGGUGGUGCUAAAUAACUAUGGGCUCGGGAUCAAGGCUGUACUUGUUAUUGCCAAUGGGUUAUUGCUAUGUAUUUUUACAUGCUGACGGUGUUGAUAAUAAUUUCUGCAUGUCUACACAUAGUUUAUUCAUGCCACUGGAAAAAGCACCAAGAAUGUUGUGGGCAGAGAUGUCUUGGAGGGACAUCACAGGUUUGUUCAACGUACAUGCCAAUCCACCUUAUUAUAUUAGGACAUAUUACGCAUCUCCUUUAAUAUUAUUUUUCUGAUUUAUGUGCAUAUAUGCAUACAAUGAUGAGAUGUUCUGUUAGGAUAGUUUAUAUUAAGGAGCUUUACUAAAUAAUAGUACAAUGAUGGUACUGAAGGAGGCUUUGCAACUAGCAAGCUACUCUCUUUACAAUCUGAUUGUGAUAUGACUUAAAUGAUGUGUGGCUGUUCUGUUCUCUCGGACAAUAUAAAGCAUGGUUCUAUAUGCCCUGCUAAUUUUGUAACUUCCAAUGUUUUGUGGAGCCUUUCACAUUUGCACCGGUGUAACUGUGUAACCUUGCACGUAUGCUACAAUAGGGCAGAGCUGGUGUAGCAUCAUUAGUUUCUUUGUUGAUAUACUAACAAGUUACCCUGUCUGAUUUCUAGAAUGUUUGGCACCCUGUUUGCGUGCAAGAUUACUAGGAGCGACCUCUUCCUUGACUGUUUGACACAGCAAGCAUUGAACAUGGGCGCUCCCAGGGGAUGGAUGACCGUCAGGGGCAUCUCCCUUGUUUGGCCACGGCUUCCCUUUGACACCAGUGAAGUGAACAGCAGACGUGGCACCACAUCAUUCACUUGCCUACCAUAGAUUGACCGCUGAUGCGGGUGCUCCGCUCCACUACUCCAUCUCAUGAUAUAUAUUUCCUCUCUUUAUAUCCAGAUCCUAAUGUAUAGCAUGUAAAAAUGUUUAAAUUUAGAAAUAAUGUUUUGCCUUCUACACUUACAUUGUUUGGGUUAGUAAAAAUGUAACUAAAUUCAGCGGAUGGUGUUAUUUGAAGCAAGAUUAUAAGAUUUUUCCUCUGGUGUUA